UAAAAUUUGGAUGAACUUCCAGAAGAUUAUUUCAAAAUAUCAUUUUUAUCAUCUUAUCACUGGUUUCUUGCCAAUUCUUCCUUGAUAAUGAAACAAGGUUAAAACUGAUUUUUGAAGCACAUGUGGACUCUCAUAUGGAGUCCUGAAAGAUGGGUGAGAAUGAGUUUUCAGGACUUUAUUUUAGAGAUUUCUUAACUGUAGUACUUUGGCCACCUCAUGUGAAGAGUUGACUCAUUGGAAAAGACUCUGAUGCUGGGAGGGAUUGGGGGCAGGAGGAGAAGGGGAUGACAGAGGAUGAGAUGGCUGGAUGGCAUCACUGACUCAAUGGAGUCGACAGUUAUGGUGACCACGAAGGGACCCAGAGUGGACUUCCUUUCUUCGACUGGACUCCACGAGGAACCAGAGCUUUGGUACCAGCAGUGGCCCCUUGUGCCCAUCCGCAUCCUUGGGGAGUGCUGACGAAUUUGAGGAACAGGAGAAGGAGGCCAAGGCCCAGGAAAAGAGAGAAAGAAAGAGACAAGGCAUGCCCAGAUGCUGGCCGCCCUCCAGAGAAGCCCGAUGGCAAACCCCGAGUCCUUGAGGGACAAGACACGAG
Molecule: long non-coding RNA, 595 nt
Organism: Bos taurus (domestic cattle)
Lineage: Eukaryota; Metazoa; Chordata; Mammalia; Artiodactyla; Bovidae
Source: Ensembl